GUAAGCCAAGUAUUUCCUUCUAUUUUGUAGAAGGAAGUAGAGCUAAAGCAGCUGAGGCGAAUUAUUUGACUACAUUUAAACGUACAUUGCAUACAUGUAUUUGGAUUUUGGCAGGUUUCAUGAUUCAUAAGGUUUUUUUUAUUCCCCUGCAGAUUAGUAGCGUGAGUUCUCAAAUUUAUUCAGUAAGCUGUAAAGGAAACUCUACUUUGGCAGCCGAGCACUUCAUGUUAUCUGUGGACCAGGCAAUUGCGAAUGGCCAUAUCACUAUCUUCAGCGACGCACUUAUCCUGAUUUGUGGCUCUUAAUACUGCACGAACAUUUCUUAUCCAGUAGCCCAGGCAGCAACCUUGGAAUUCUUGCAACGAUGCCUUAAGAUUAACCCCGACAAGGGAUCCAAAGUGGAGUGGAACACGUCUAAGAAAAACCUUGCAGUCAAUCCAAAGGUUCUGACGUUGAUCACCAAAAUUGCGGACUAUGAGUGGAGAGCAUAAAAAGUUCUCAUUUUUAUCCUGAGGAUAACCUUAUCUGUUGUUCACUAGCACUGGUCUCUGGUUCAUGGUCAAUGUCAACAGCACGGGUGGCCCGCUUUAUAGGGGAAAAGUGAAAUAUAGGCUG
Molecule: long non-coding RNA, 615 nt
Organism: Astatotilapia calliptera (eastern happy)
Lineage: Eukaryota; Metazoa; Chordata; Actinopteri; Cichliformes; Cichlidae
Source: Ensembl